Molecule: ribosomal RNA, 1010 nt
Filed under: Klebsiella variicola
Lineage: Bacteria; Pseudomonadati; Pseudomonadota; Gammaproteobacteria; Enterobacterales; Enterobacteriaceae
Description: bacterial SSU rRNA
Rfam family: Bacterial small subunit ribosomal RNA
Source: RNAcentral
UGCAAGUCGAGCGGUAGCACAGAGAGCUUGCUCUCGGGUGACGAGCGGCGGACGGGUGAGUAAUGUCUGGGAAACUGCCUGAUGGAGGGGGAUAACUACUGGAAACGGUAGCUAAUACCGCAUAACGUCGCAAGACCAAAGUGGGGGACCUUCGGGCCUCAUGCCAUCAGAUGUGCCCAGAUGGGAUUAGCUGGUAGGUGGGGUAACGGCUCACCUAGGCGACGAUCCCUAGCUGGUCUGAGAGGAUGACCAGCCACACUGGAACUGAGACACGGUCCAGACUCCUACGGGAGGCAGCAGUGGGGAAUAUUGCACAAUGGGCGCAAGCCUGAUGCAGCCAUGCCGCGUGUGUGAAGAAGGCCUUCGGGUUGUAAAGCACUUUCAGCGGGGAGGAAGGCGGUGAGGUUAAUAACCUCAUCGAUUGACGUUACCCGCAGAAGAAGCACCGGCUAACUCCGUGCCAGCAGCCGCGGUAAUACGGAGGGUGCAAGCGUUAAUCGGAAUUACUGGGCGUAAAGCGCACGCAGGCGGUCUGUCAAGUCGGAUGUGAAAUCCCCGGGCUCAACCUGGGAACUGCAUUCGAAACUGGCAGGCUAGAGUCUUGUAGAGGGGGGUAGAAUUCCAGGUGUAGCGGUGAAAUGCGUAGAGAUCUGGAGGAAUACCGGUGGCGAAGGCGGCCCCCUGGACAAAGACUGACGCUCAGGUGCGAAAGCGUGGGGAGCAAACAGGAUUAGAUACCCUGGUAGUCCACGCUGUAAACGAUGUCGAUUUGGAGGUUGUGCCCUUGAGGCGUGGCUUCCGGAGCUAACGCGUUAAAUCGACCGCCUGGGGAGUACGGCCGCAAGGUUAAAACUCAAAUGAAUUGACGGGGGCCCGCACAAGCGGUGGAGCAUGUGGUUUAAUUCGAUGCAACGCGAAGAACCUUACCUGGUCUUGACAUCCACAGAACUUUCCAGAGAUGGAUUGGUGCCUUCGGGAACUGUGAGACAGGUGCUGCAUGGCUGUCGUCA